AUGGACGGGGAAUGUGUCACCCACUUUUUUGGGAACCAAUGGACCUUCUGUUGGGAGCACCGCCCUCGACAGGACACUUUCGAAGCUCCACCAGAAGGCACCAACUGCCUCAUCUGCCUUGAGCCUGUGGGGGACAGCUUGUCCUAUCACACCCUGGUGUGCCCAGUGUGCCAACAUGCCUGGUUCCACCGGGGUUGCAUCCAGCAACAGGCCUUGAGUGCUGGCGCUUUGUGCUUCCAGUGCGCCGCUUGUCGAGACAACAUCCGGUUCUUUG
Molecule: non-coding RNA, 274 nt
Organism: Meleagris gallopavo (turkey)
Lineage: Eukaryota; Metazoa; Chordata; Aves; Galliformes; Phasianidae
Source: RefSeq, a predicted model, not a curated record